This 497-nucleotide ribosomal RNA is filed under the name uncultured bacterium. Its description in RNAcentral is "partial 16S ribosomal RNA". It matches the Rfam family "Bacterial small subunit ribosomal RNA", at positions 28 to 507 of the family's 1533-position model. The record is from RNAcentral.
GAUGAACGCUGGCGGCGUGCCUAAUACAUGCAAGUCGAGCGAACGGACGCGAAGCUUGCUUCUCUGAUGUUAGCGGAGGGCGGGUGAGUAACACGUGGAUAACCUACCUAUAAGACUGGGAUAACUUCGGGAAACCGGAGCUAAUACCGGAUAAUAUUUUGAACCGCAUGGUUCAAAAGUGAAAGACGGUCUUGCUGUCACUUAUAGAUGGAUCCGAGCUGUAUUAGCUAGUUGGUAAGGUAACGGCCUACCAAGGCAACGAUGCAUAGCCGAGCGGAGAGGGGGGUCGGCCACACGGGAGCGGGGACACGCACAUGGGUCCUACGGGAGGCAGCAGUAGGGAAUCUGCCGCAAUGGGCGAAAGCAUGACGGAGCGGGGCCGCGUGAGAUGUGGAGAUGUUCGGAUCGUAAAACUCGGUUAUGAGGGAAGAACAGAUUUGGAAGUAACUGUGGACAGCGUGACGGUACCGGAUCAGAAAGCCACGGCUAACUACGUG